GGAGUAAUAGUCUAGUCGUAUGAUACCCGCUUAGGGUUUUCGAGUGGUCCCGGGUUCGAUUCCCGGUUACUCCC
This 74-nucleotide transfer RNA is filed under the name Hypsibius exemplaris. RNAcentral's name for it is "tRNA-Pro". It matches the Rfam family "tRNA". From Rfam's summary of the family: Transfer RNA (tRNA) molecules are approximately 80 nucleotides in length. Their secondary structure includes four short double-helical elements and three loops (D, anti-codon, and T loops). Further hydrogen bonds mediate the characteristic L-shaped molecular structure. tRNAs have two regions of fundamental functional importance: the anti-codon, which is responsible for specific mRNA codon recognition, and the 3' end, to which the tRNAs corresponding amino acid is attached (by aminoacyl-tRNA synthetases). tRNAs cope with the degeneracy of the genetic code in two manners: having more than one tRNA (with a specific anti-codon) for a particular amino acid; and 'wobble' base-pairing, i.e. permitting non-standard base-pairing at the 3rd anti-codon position. Lineage: Eukaryota; Metazoa; Tardigrada; Eutardigrada; Parachela; Hypsibiidae. The record is from RNAcentral.